CUUUUCUUUCCAAAGGGAAGGUACAGUCCCAAAUUGCAACAAAUACUGGAGUAACCUUGUUAAUACACCUUUCAACUGGUGACAACAAUUCUUUACCACCUUCCCACUAAUUCCAUCAGGCCCCCCAGCUUUACCAAGUUUUAUACUAGAUAUAGAGGUUACCACUUCUGGCUCUGACAAAUAAAUAGGGGGCAAUAUGGGAUGUUCUGGCAGAUAUUAUCACAGUUAGGACUGCUAUCCUCAGUAUCAAAUCUUCUGAAAAAAUGGUUCAUAUCAUUAACAGGUACAGUAAGUAAUAGGUUACUGUUCCUUUUAUCAUGCCUGCCCAUCAUAACAUUUAGACCAUAUCAAGCUUGCCUUGCAUUUAAACUCACUUUCAUGCAACUGCUAUUGCAUUAAAGAAACUAACAUCUUAAUAUUAAGGAUGUUGAUUUAACACAUGCAACACAUGCAACACAUGCAACACAUGCAACACAUGUAACACAUGCAACACAGUAAAUCUGCUUGGUUGACCUGACUCUUGGUGAACUAGAAUUAGAAUUUAGAAUUAGGAAACUCUUUUCAGGGUGCUGUUUCAUACGGCAUUAAUACCGAACAUACUGUACUUUAUAAGACUGGGUUUGAUAGAAACAUUGCCUUCAAUAUCACAAUAUCACAAUCCUAAGCAUCAUCAUUUGUCUUAUAGAUUUCCCCCUAACAUGUCUUCACAAUGACAGAAUUACAAUAGGUAAUUUUCCACAUUGUGGGGACAUUUGGCUGCUGCAGAAAGAACAAAUAGGAGAGCACACACAUGCACGCGCGCACACACACACACCACACCGCGCAUUAUUUCCCUCCAUUAGAAGACAACAGGAGAACAGAGACCUAUUUUCUGCUGGCUAUUUCUGAAGCUCAGAGAGAAAAUUGCCACUGUUUGGACAAUUUAGUUUGAAAUUGCCCAGUAGGGGUGUUCAUUUUAGGUUUCAUGGGGCUGCUUUCAUUUGUUAAGAUGCAUGCUUUUAAGGAAGUCCAUAAUUCCUUAUGUAGAGCUUUUAUAGAUUUAUAUAGAGCUUUUCUAGACACUCAAAGUGCUUUACAUUGUAUGGGGGGAAAUCUCCUCAACCACCAUGGAUGAUGUGACAGCAGACAUAGUGCACCAGAAUGCCCACCCCACACCAGCUAUUAGUGAAGAGGAGAGUGAUGUUGCCAAUUCAAACCACAUGGCGAGCACUCACUAAUACCACAUCUAGCAGCAACCUUAGUUUUCCCCAGGAGGUCUCCCAUCCAGGCACUGACCAGGCUCAACCCUGCUUAACUUCAAUGGCACUGGACCAUCAUGAGUGGUGAGGUACACUGUAGCAGAGGAAAUGUGGGAAACUGGAGUUUGGGUUUGUACAACUAAAAUCAUGGAAUAAAUUAUGUAGUAUUUUUGGGGAAAGACGACAAGUCAAAUAGAUGUAAAUGCUCAACUAGACAUUGUACUAUACUAUGGUCC
This is a long non-coding RNA of Ictalurus furcatus (blue catfish), 1474 nucleotides long. RefSeq lists it as uncharacterized. The transcript is spliced from 3 exons. The record is from RefSeq and is a predicted model, not a curated record. Lineage: Eukaryota; Metazoa; Chordata; Actinopteri; Siluriformes; Ictaluridae.